Molecule: ribosomal RNA, 413 nt
Filed under: uncultured bacterium
Lineage: Bacteria
Description: bacterial SSU rRNA
Rfam family: Bacterial small subunit ribosomal RNA
Source: RNAcentral
UUAGGAAUAUUGCACAAUGGGCGAAAGCCUGAUGCAGCAACGCCGCGUGAGGGACGACGGCCUUCGGGCUGUAAACCUCUUUUAGCAGGGAAGCGGUACCUGCAGAAAAAGCACCGGCUAACUACGUGCCAGCAGCCGCGGUAAUACGUAGGGUGCAAGCGUUGUCCGGAAUUAUUGGGCGUAAAGAGCUCGUAGGCGGUUUGUCGCGUCUGCUGUGAAACCCGAGGCUCAACCUCGGGCCUGCAGUGGGUACGGGCAGACUAGAGUGCGGUAGGGGAGAUUGGAAUUCCUGGUGUAGCGGUGGAAUGCGCAGAUAUCAGGAGGAACACCGAUGGCGAAGGCAGAUCUCUGGGCCGAACUGACGCUGAGGAGCGAAAGCAUGGGGAGCGAACAGGAUUAGAUACCCGAGUAGU